ACAACUGCAUAGAAACUGAAAAAAGGGAAAAUACCAAUGCAUUGGAUCAUAAUCAGUCUUUUAUUACAUGGAGAUCACACCAUCUUUCCUUGAGCAUUGUUGUUGACACCACUAAACUACUAAUCAAGUACCUGGAUUACACCAAAAAGCACUCUGUCGUUAAUUUCUCAAGCAUCUGCCUCCAUAACUAUCGUUCAGGUACCUCCACAAGCUACAAAAAUAACUCAAACCAUUCAAGUGCCUGCACAAGCUACUAAAUGACAACCCCCAUAGGGGGCAAAUUUAACAAGAAAUGCUUAAGCAAAAGUCCUACUACAUUUCAAAUAACUUUCAAAUGCCCCCAAAUCGUAUUUAGCUGCAUUAGCGCAUGAUUCCAUUAGCAGGAAUAAAUCAAAGAAGUGACAAGCACACAAUUUCAACAACAUUACUGAAGGGAAUCGGCUGUAAGGACUGGAUGAUGGUUUACAACCACAGGAGGCCGAAGAGCUUUGUGAUUAGCUACAUUUUCCUUGCGUGCCUUGUACAUCUCUUCAGUCUCAAUGACAACCAACCUUUUCACCUAAGAUCAGUAUGAGAAAUGCAAAAUGAAUAAUUACUAGUACUUCAUAUGGAAACGAGAACGCAAAGGAGAGCACUC
RNAcentral lists this long non-coding RNA (637 nucleotides) under Nicotiana tabacum (common tobacco). Its description in RNAcentral is "long non-coding RNA (NTAB_LNC019033)". The record is from RNAcentral. Lineage: Eukaryota; Viridiplantae; Streptophyta; Magnoliopsida; Solanales; Solanaceae.